Long non-coding RNA from Populus trichocarpa (black cottonwood), 1999 nucleotides. RefSeq lists it as uncharacterized. The transcript has 2 exons. The record is from RefSeq and is a predicted model, not a curated record. Lineage: Eukaryota; Viridiplantae; Streptophyta; Magnoliopsida; Malpighiales; Salicaceae.
UUUUGCUUCACUCUCUUCUCUCUCCCACACCCCCGUCCAACACAACCGUCAAUGGCGGUCGCAACCGCAACGGCAUCGACCGUCGUGUUCCACAGGCGUAUGUUAGAAUCAACAACGGCCUCUUCACGAACUACUAACCCUAACAGAACCCUAACGAUCUCUUCUUCUCCAUCUUCUUCUUCUUCAAGGGCCUCUCUUUCAACUUGCUUCCUCUCUCCCUUCGUCGGCGGAGGAAUCAGGAUAAUAGUUUUUGUCAUUGCUUCCAAAGCUUCCUAACAGAUUGUGAAUUUAGAAAGUUUCCCCAAGUCUGUUUACUGUGUUGGACUGGAUGAGGGAGGUGUUUAUGUGUUGGAGUAUAUGCAUCUUCUUAUUAAUGUUAACCAUGUCCAUGACUCCAUGCUAAGAAAAGAAGCAGUUUGCUUUCUAUGUAUUUAUGUAUGCUUCUGUAAAUAUUCAUAUGCAUGUGAUCGCAUGAAUAGUGCGCUUUAAAUGCUCUAUAGGGCAAUACAUUUAUCAUUGCCAACUCCAAAGUCUACUGGCUGAUAGUGCGAGCAAGGACUUGUUUAAUUCUGACGAGUAGGAUAUUUAUAUGUAGUGGAGCAUAUAUUAUAGUGGUAAUAGUUUAUUAAUGACCUCUAUUUAAGUGUGUUCUCUGCUUUGUGAUUUUAAAUUAAGCUCAGUGGCAUUUAUGAAUGCAACAAGUAAACCUUCCCAAAUCCCACCCAUGAGGAAAUUCUUGCGUAUAUUUUACACCACUGUAGGUAUGUCAAGCCACCUCUAUUUACUCUCUGUGUUGGUAAUGCUCGGGGAGAAGCAGCCAUGCUUUUGGCUGCUGGUUCAAGGGAAAACCGCUCUGCUUUACCCUCAUCAACGAUCAACGAUCAUGAUAAAGCGGGUAUUUUUGUGAUAGGUGGUACUCUAUUCUAUCCCAUCUUAUAUCUUGCUAGUUUUUCUUUCUUGACUGCAAUCAGUCUCUAGAAUUCAGAAUCAAAUUUUUCUGCACUUUCUCUAUCAAUCUACAGCCAAUUGGGAGAUUUCAAGGUCAAGCAACAGGUGUUGAACUUGCAAGGAAAGAAAUAAAGAAAGUGAAAGCAGAAUUGCAGAGCUGGAUGUGGGAUAAUGGUUGCAAUUUUCCAUGAGGAGCCACGACCUCAUCCUGACCUCCCCUAACAAGGUAGCUCGGUGAUCUUGAGAGUUGGGUUGGGUAGCAUGGGUCUCAUCUCACCUUGUUCUGGGGCACAAUGGGCUUGGUGGGCUUUGCUCCAAAGCUCACAGACUGUAUUGGUGGGCAAGGAAAAAACAAAUUCAGGUCGAGUGGCGCUAAUGACUGGGUUGGUUUUAUACAUUUUACUUGUACAUUUGUAUUACAGGAUACAGAAGCUGUCAGAACAAUGCCUGUUUGGCCUGCUCACAGUUGCAAGUGGAAGUUUAAAUGAUAGCCAGCAAAUACAACUGCAGGCUUGCUUGCACAUGUUUGUGUGUGUGUCUGUGUGCAAGCACACACUGGAGGGAGGGAGUUUAUGUUUUGCCUAUGGGGGAAGAAACUGGGGGUGUGAAGAGGGAGAACUUCCUUUUGGCUUCCCAAAAGUAACUGAUACUUGAUCUUAAUCAAAGGUUUAGACACUUGGUUCAAAACAUAAACAAUUUAAUUUCUGGAAGAAAAUGACUUAGCAUCACUUCCACAAUUGAGAAGGCUUUAGAAAUUUGCUCUCUUAUCAAAUGCAUUUUGGCUGAGCAGCCUGCGCUCACAUUUCAACUGCUGCUGCUGCUGCUGCUGCUGUUAUUCUGCAUGGAAAGUUUUAAGAUGCUCGAUUUAUGGCACUUGUGAUUUCUUGCACUACAUUUGUAAAUGCUCGAUUUUCUGAUGGCAGUGCCAAACUUGAUGUAUUUAGUUAGAUAGUCAUGCGGUGACCACAAGACUUCAUUGAUCAUUUUUUAGAAAAUUUGAUGCUGAACAUGCUUUUUCAUGGCAUUGUAAUGAAAUAAUUUUUACUUCCAA